This 2538-nucleotide ribosomal RNA is filed under the name Triticum aestivum (bread wheat). Its description in RNAcentral is "partial small subunit ribosomal RNA". The record is from RNAcentral. Lineage: Eukaryota; Viridiplantae; Streptophyta; Magnoliopsida; Poales; Poaceae.
AUGAGUAGCUCGCGCUAUCCGGCUGCUGUGGUGGACGAGGGUAAUGCUAAGAUGGCGGUGAGGGAGUGGGUCGGGUGGGAGGAGGAGAUCAUGCUAGAGGACGGCAACGGCGAGGAGCACAAGGUGUGCUACUUCCUCCUCCGCGCGCCACCCCAGGACGGCGGUAAGAGCGAGAGGGAUCUGGCGGUGGUGGGUAAGUAUUGGGGACCUGGGAACAUGCUGUACUCAGCGGACUUGCAGUUCCUGCAAUCCCUCCAGACGGCGCUCAAGUCUGGGUCGGCGUCUGCUAGGGUGGCGACGCUGGCGUUGGAGAUCACUCAGAUCAGGUGGAAGUCUAGGAAAGAGGUCAUGGACUGGCUCACCUCGCUCGUCUCAGAUCCCCCGUAUGGAGCCUUUGGAUUGACUUGUCCCGACUACCAUGAUGGUGCAUCUAAGGAUACCCCCUCAACACUCUCUACUGUUGGGGAAAAUAAAGAAGGGUUCACAUGGAUAUGCAAAUUGCCCCAUCUUGAUCAACGUCGCAAGCACUACAAAUCCUUUUGCCGAGAGGGAAUGAGAAUUUCGGUUCAUGAUUUUGUGUUCAUCAAGAGUGGAGGGAGAGAGAGCCAUGUUGCCUAUGUGGAAGACAUGUACGAAGAUGGCAGUGCCAAGAACAUGGUGCUGGUACGAUGGUUUGAGGAACCUGAUGGUGAGCACGGUGUUGCAUUGCCCCCAGAUCUUUAUUGUAGGGAGAUCUUCUUUGGAUAUGGGCUGCAAGAUCUGAGGGUUGAAUUUGUGGAGGGGGUGGCAGUGGUCCUGAAUCCACAACACUUUGAGAUGUUCAAGAAAAUAAAUGGAGGGUGCAGUAGCUGGCAGCCCUAUGUAUGUCGUCGAUGCAUCGAUGAUGACACUGUCGGGCCCUUUGACAUCGCGCAGCUCCAUGGAUAUGCAAAGCAGGAGAUAGUAAAGGAAAUUGUUGCCGCAUCCUCGUCGACGGUGGAGCAGGCCAAGCCACCUAAUAACAACGGUAAAGCUGCCAUUACUGGUCUGGCCGCCGAGAACCAUGCUGGUUCUUCCAGCACUGUUACCGGUGACAAUACCAUGCAUAAGCAGAAGGAGAAGCCCCCUGCAUGCAGCACAACUCCUUCCAGUUCCAGCUCUGUUAUCAAUGACAAAACCAUGGAGAAGCAGAAGCCUCCUCCAUGCAGCGCAACUACUUCCACUUCCAGCACUGUUAUCGGUGACAACAAAACCAUGGAGAAGCACAAGGAGAUGCCCCCUCCAUGUAGCAUGACUCCACAGAGCACCAUCAAUGGCCAGAUCAUCGAAAGCAGUGUCGUUCCCUGUAGCGUGGUGAACUGUCAGACCAUCGUGCAUAAUCAGCCGCCCCCAAGUGGUACUAGUACGUGUAAUGCAGCAGCCAAUGAUGCGUCAACCAUGGUGAACCCUGAGAAGAUGUUCCAGCCCGGCUGCCGUCUUGAAGCCCUGUCCCAAGACAGCAGCGUGAGGGGUUGUUGGUUCAAAUGUGUGGUACUCAAUAGGAGGGAGAAAGAUAACAAGGUCAUGGUGCGGUACCAAGACCUUCUGAAUUCCGAGGGCAAGGGACAGCUCAGGGAAUGGCUCAAUGUUGCAAGAAUUGCAGAACCUGACCACUUGGGCAUACGCCUUACUAAAAGGCACAUGCUUCGCCCACACCUCCCAAGACACAACAGGAAGAUCGAGUCUCCGGUGGCUGUCGGGGUCAUCGUGGACGCGCGGCUGAAUGGCGGAUGGUGGGAGGGGAUCGUGCUGCAGCAGGAGACUGCUGGCCACGUCCAAGUUUAUCUCCAAGGGGAGGGGAGACUUGUGGAGCUCCGAGUGGAGUGUCUGCGAAAGUCAUUUGAGUGGCAUGAGGAGCAAUGGAUGCCUCUAGAUGCAAGAAAGGAUGUUGCAGCCAAGAUAACCCUUGACCUGAAGAAGCAGCAGGGCGUCCAGCAAUCUGCAAUGAACAAGGGUGGUGAGAGCUCUUCAAAACAGAAGGCUCAGAAGAUGGGUGAGCAGUCUAGCCAGACGGCGGCCGUCGCAGCCGCAGAGCUGGCUGCGCCAACCGCAGGACUGGUGCAGCCUUUGGAGGAAGGUGACGAUGAACCUGCAAACUCUGCUCCUCCACGGAAGAGGUUCCUGGCUCAGGGCUACUCUUUCGAGGAAAAAAGGCUGGAGGAGCAGGCCAAAAAGAUCAAGGGUCCUGUUGAUGAAGCUGCAAAACCAGUCGCAGCGGAGGGAGAUGGCAUGCUCCACGGCGGCGGCUCAGCUGAUGCCAAGCUGUGCCGGGUUGAUCCUACAAACUCUGACAGCCUGAAUGGCGCUGAACGCAAGGGCAAGGCUCGAAAAUCUUCUGGCACAAAGAAAAUGGGGUCUUCGGAGAGCAGCAGCCAUGGAGGCACCAGUGGCUCUGCCUCCAGUGGAGGUGCUGCGCCGGUGAAUCCAGUGCCCAUGGAAAAGAUAUGCGUGACCAAUGGCGAGGCUCCUGUCAUCGCCCUGGACGAAUCGGAGGUGAUCGACCUGACCAUAGAUGACUGA